This 461-nucleotide ribosomal RNA is filed under the name Escherichia coli. RNAcentral's name for it is "bacterial SSU rRNA". It matches the Rfam family "Bacterial small subunit ribosomal RNA", at positions 161 to 617 of the family's 1533-position model. The record is from RNAcentral. Lineage: Bacteria; Pseudomonadati; Pseudomonadota; Gammaproteobacteria; Enterobacterales; Enterobacteriaceae.
AGCUAAUACCGCAUAACGUCGCAAGACCAAAGAGGGGGACCUUCGGGCCUCUUGCCAUCGGAUGUGCCCAGAUGGGAUUAGCUAGUAGGUGGGGUAACGGCUCACCUAGGCGACGAUCCCUAGCUGGUCUGAGAGGAUGACCAGCCACACUGGAACUGAGACACGGUCCAGACUCCUACGGGAGGCAGCAGUGGGGAAUAUUGCACAAUGGGCGCAAGCCUGAUGCAGCCAUGCCGCGUGUAUGAAGAAGGCCUUCGGGUUGUAAAGUACUUUCAGCGGGGAGGAAGGGAGUAAAGUUAAUACCUUUGCUCAUUGACGUUACCCGCAGAAGAAGCACCGGCUAACUCCGUGCCAGCAGCCGCGGUAAUACGGAGGGUGCAAGCGUUAAUCGGAAUUACUGGGCGUAAAGCGCACGCAGGCGGUUUGUUAAGUCAGAUGUGAAAUCCCCGGGCUCAACCUGG